UGGGGAAUUUUGGACAAUGGGCGCAAGCCUGAUCCAGCAAUGCCGCGUGCAGGAUGAAGGCCUUCGGGUUGUAAACUGCUUUUGUACGGAACGAAAAGCCUCUCUCUAAUACAGGGGGUGAUGACGGUACCGUAAGAAUAAGCACCGGCUAACUACGUGCCAGCAGCCGCGGUAAUACGUAGGGUGCAAGCGUUAAUCGGAAUUACUGGGCGUAAAGCGUGCGCAGGCGGUUUUGUAAGACAGUGGUGAAAUCCCCGGGCUCAACCUGGGAACUGCCAUUGUGACUGCAAGGCUGGAGUGCGGCAGAGGGGGAUGGAAUUCCGCGUGUAGCAGUGAAAUGCGUAGAUAUGCGGAGGAACACCGAUGGCGAAGGCAAUCCCCUGGGCCUGCACUGACGCUCAUGCACGAAAGCGUGGGGAGCAAACAGGAUUAGAUACCCUGGUAGUCCACGCCCUAAACGAUGUCAACUGGUUGUUGGGGAUUUAUUUCUUCAGUAACGAAGCUAACGCGUGAAGUUGACCGCCUGGGGGAAUUACGGCCNCAAGGUU
Molecule: ribosomal RNA, 548 nt
Filed under: uncultured bacterium
Lineage: Bacteria
Description: partial 16S ribosomal RNA
Rfam family: Bacterial small subunit ribosomal RNA
Source: RNAcentral